This 398-nucleotide ribosomal RNA is filed under the name uncultured Glomeromycotina. Its description in RNAcentral is "SSU rRNA". It matches the Rfam family "Eukaryotic small subunit ribosomal RNA", at positions 569 to 970 of the family's 1831-position model. Lineage: Eukaryota; Fungi; Glomeromycota. The record is from RNAcentral.
AGCAGCCGCGGUAAAUUCCAGCUCCAAUAGCGUAUAUUAAAGUUGUUGCAGUUAAAAAGCUCGUAGUUGAAUUUCGGGAUCAGUACGCUGGUCAUGCCUUUGGUAUGCACUGGUGUCACUGGUUUCUCCCUUCCGAAGAUCCGUGAUGUCAUUAAUUUGGUAUCGCGGGGAAUCAGGACUGUUACCUUGAAAAAAUUAGAGUGUUUAAAGCAGGCUCACGCUUGAAUACAUUAGCAUGGAAUAAUGAAAUAGGACGUUUGACCCUAUUUUGUUGGUUUCUAGGAUCGACGUAAUGAUUAAUAGGGAUAGUUGGGGGCAUUAGUAUUCAAUUGUCAGAGGUGAAAUUCUUGGAUUUAUUGAAGACUAACUACUGCGAAAGCAUUUGCCAAGGAUGUUUU